GGGUUGUAAAGCACUUUCAAUAGGGAAGAAGUCUCUAGGGAUAACACCCCUGAGGAUUGACGUUACCUAUAGAAGAAGCACUGGCUAACUCUGUGCCAGCAGCCGCGGUAAUACAGAGAGUGCGAGCGUUAAUCGGAAUCACUGGGCGUAAAGCGCGCGUAGGUUGAUAUUUAAGUCGGAUGUGAAAGCCCUGGGCUUAACUUAGGAAUUGCAUCCGAUACUGGAUGUCUCGAGUAUAGUAGAGGGAAGUGGAAUUUCCGGUGUAGCGGUGAAAUGCAUAGAUAUCGGAAAGAACACCAGUGGCGAAGGCGGCUUCCUGGACUAAUACUGACACUGAGGUGCGAAAGCGUGGGGAGCAAACAGGAUUAGAGACCCUGGUAGUCCACGCCGUCAACGAUGAGAACUAGCUGUUGGAAAGUUUUCUUUCUAGUAGCGAAGCUAACGCGUUAAGUUCUCCGCCUGGGGAGUACGGCCGCAAGGUUAAAACUCAAAGAAAUUGACGGGGGCCCGCACAAGCGGUGGAGCAUGUGGUUUAAUUCGAUGCAACGCGAAAAACCUUACCUACCCUUGACAUCCUCG
Molecule: ribosomal RNA, 579 nt
Filed under: Coxiella-like endosymbiont
Lineage: Bacteria; Pseudomonadati; Pseudomonadota; Gammaproteobacteria; Legionellales; Coxiellaceae
Description: bacterial SSU rRNA
Rfam family: Bacterial small subunit ribosomal RNA
Source: RNAcentral